RNAcentral lists this ribosomal RNA (259 nucleotides) under uncultured bacterium. Its description in RNAcentral is "partial 16S ribosomal RNA". It matches the Rfam family "Bacterial small subunit ribosomal RNA", at positions 793 to 1050 of the family's 1533-position model. The record is from RNAcentral.
GUCCACGCCGUAAACGAUGAGUGCUAGGUGUUGGAUCCUUUCCGGGAUUCAGUGCCGCAGCUAACGCAUUAAGCACUCCGCCUGGGGAGUACGACCGCAAGGUUGAAACUCAAAGGAAUUGACGGGGGCCCGCACAAGCGGUGGAGCAUGUGGUUUAAUUCGAAGCAACGCGAAGAACCUUACCAGGUCUUGACAUCCCGAUGCUAUUUCUAGAGAUAGAAAGUUACUUCGGUACAUCGGUGACAGGUGGUGCAUGGUU